RNAcentral lists this ribosomal RNA (1045 nucleotides) under Mucor indicus. RNAcentral describes it as "SSU rRNA". It matches the Rfam family "Eukaryotic small subunit ribosomal RNA", at positions 28 to 1076 of the family's 1831-position model. The record is from RNAcentral. Lineage: Eukaryota; Fungi; Mucoromycota; Mucoromycetes; Mucorales; Mucoraceae.
AUGGCUUGUCUCAUGAUUAUGCCAUGCAUGUCUAAGUAUAAAUAACUUUAUAUUGUGAAACUGCGAAUGGCUCAUUAAAUCAGUUAUGAUCUACGUGACAAAUUCUUUACUACUUGGAUAACCGUGGUAAUUCUAGAGCUAAUACAUGCAAAAAAGCCCUGACUUACGAAGGGGUGCACUUAUUAGAUAAAACCAACGCGGGGUAAAACCUGUUUCUUGGUGAAUCAUAAUAAUUAAGCGGAUCGCAUGGCCUUGUGCCGGCGACGGUCCACUCGAUUUUCUGCCCUAUCAUGGUUGAGAUUGUAAGAUAGAGGCUUACAAUGCCUACAACGGGUAACGGGGAAUUAGGGUUCGAUUCCGGAGAGGGAGCCUGAGAAACGGCUACCACAUCCAAGGAAGGCAGCAGGCGCGCAAAUUACCCAAUCCCGACACGGGGAGGUAGUGACAAUACAUAACAAUGCAGGGCCUUUAAGGUCUUGCAAUUGGAAUGAGUACAAUUUAAAUCCCUUAACGAGGAUCAAUUGGAGGGCAAGUCUGGUGCCAGCAGCCGCGGUAAUUCCAGCUCCAAUAGCGUAUAUUAAAGUUGUUGCAGUUAAAACGUCCGUAGUCAAACUUUAGUCUUACCGGCGUAGUGGCCUGGUCUUCAUUGACCAAGCUCAUUGCUGCCGGAGACUCCACGUCCAUUGACUCCUAGUCCUCGUGGCUAGGGUUUUCUGGACAAUUACCAUGAGCAAAUCAGAGUGUUUAAAGCAGGCUUUUAAGCUUGAAUGUGUUAGCAUGGAAUAAUGAAAUAUGACUUUAGUCCUAUUUUCGUUGGUUUAGGUACUUCAGUAAUGAUGAAUAGAAACGGUUAGGGGCAUUUGUAUUUGGUCGCUAGAGGUGAAAUUCUUGUAUUGACCGAAGACAAACUACUGCGAAAGCAUUUGACCCGGGACGUUUUCAUUGAUCAAGGUCUAAAGUUAAGGAUCGAAGACGAUUAGAUAUCCGUCGUAGUUCUUAACCACAAACUAUGCCGACUAGAGAUUGGGGCGUGUUUAUUAUGACU